UACGGCCCCACAGAAGGGUGUGGGUCAGAGCUGGUGGCCCUCAAGGAGAGAGUCUUUCAGGGCUCUCCUUCCUCCCAAUCUCCCAGGGGGAGAAGCAGCCCUUCCAGCUGCAGAGCAAAGGCAGGGCCCCUUUGGGGGCCGUCAGCUCCCACUCAGAGAGGAGGGGAGUUGCUACUUCCUCCUGGGGAGGAGGAGGGAGGAAAGGAGGUCACUGGGGACGGGGCUUCUGUGCUCAGGAGCACACUGGUGCUCUCCCUCCCCUGCAGAGAGCCAGCAGCUGGGCUGAGUGGUGGUGGGCCCCUACAUGUACACCCGUGGCAGAGAGCUGGAGCACUGGGACGAGAUGCUCAGCAAGCCCAAGGAGCUGGUGAAGCGCUGGCAUGCGCUCUGCCGCACCACGGAGCCCUGACCCUUCGCCCAGCACCGCGGUUCCGCUUUGGGAGCCGACCAUCCUCGCAGUUGCACGUGACAGCCACAGCCACACGCAUGGACGUUUCAUCCAACAGCUCCCCGAGCUGCCAGGCCAGCCCGAGCCAGGAGGACGUGAGUGCUGAUAUGCAGGAGAGAAGAGGGGACAAAGAAGUCCUGGCCCGGUCAGCGGCUCUGGCCAUACAGCCUUCCGACACACUCCCUCCUCCUUGCCUGCAGGGCUGCCUGGGCUCGGAAUCCCAGCCCCUGGUCCUCACAGCCCUGAUUUGGACCAGAAUCUCAGGUGCUCAGAAGAAAGAUCCUGUUUAGUGAUGACCCAGCUCUACCUGCUGAAUGGACCUGCAGGGUAAACUUGGGUGCCUCCAUCUGGGAAAGCUGAUGAUGUGUUCAUGCAGUCGAUGACCCUCACUGCUUUUUCAGCCAGGGUUUCUCUGCCUUCUGCCUGGCAGAGAAAACACACUGCUAUGGGGAAAAUCACAGGGAGGGCGCUGUGACCAGCACACUCAGGCACCAAGUGUCGGCAUGGCUCACUGUGCUGGGUGAAGGCCUCCCUGAGCAUUAGGUCCUCCACGGGGCUGUGUCAAAUGCCCUCCCACAUUGUGUCAAGUCUGCCCAUGGCCCACCCUCCCCACAGUCCAAAACCACACAGCCCUGGUUCUCCAGCUGUUCUGCUGCUGUUUCUGUGCUCUCCCUGAUUAAGAGCAUUCAGUUCCUGGGCUCUCCCUUUGAGCAGGAAAUGGUGAAAGCAUGUGGCUAUGGUAUAGCCCACAGGGCUGAGAUUGCUGUGUUGCAGUAUUGAUGUAAAAUUUGUUAAGAAGGAAGUACCCACAGAUCACUGCCAUCAACUCCCCAGAAGUUGCACUCAAGCUAGUGAGCAGCCCUUGUGCUUGUCACAGUUACUGUAACAGGUAGUGUGUAUUUGCACCUGGCAUCGUGCAGCCUGCACGUCAACACGUUGUUUUGCGUAACUAGAACAGCACAUGGAACCACUAUCUCUUUCUCUUUUUUCCUUCUUUUUCUUUUUUUUUUUUUUUUUUUUUUUUUGAGACAGAGUUUCCCUCUUGUCACCCAGGCUGGAGUGCAAUGGCGUGAUCUCGGCUCACUGCACCCUCCACCUCCCAGGUUCAAGCGAUUCUCCUGCCUCAGCCUCCCAAGUAGCUGGGAUUACUGGCACCCGCCACCAUGCCUGGCUAAUUUUUUUUAUUUUUAAUAGAGACGGAAUUUUACCAUGUUGGCUAGGCUGGUCUCAAAUUCCUGGCCUCAGGUGAUCCACCUGCCUCAGCCUCCCAAAGUGCUGGGAUUACAGGCAUGAGUAACCGCACCCGGCCCGACCAGUAUCUUUUUCUUAUGCAGUGAAACAACUUUAGCAAAAGAGGCAAUGAAUGUUAUACUGAGUUUGUACCUCUUUAACUCCACCUGCAAUUUCUGUCAAUCUACAAAUACAAGUGUCGCCUCGCAGUGUUUCGUAUGGACAGAAUAUCUUGUGUUUGCUUUUUGUCACUUAUUUCACUUGCACAUUUUCUUUUGUUUGUUUGUUUGUUUGUUUUUUGAGACGGAGUCUCGCUCUGUCGCCCAGGCUGGAGUGCGGUGGCGCGAUCUAGGCUUACUGCAAGCUCCACCUCCCGGGUUUACUUACGCCAUUGUCCUGCCUCAGCCUCCGGAGUCGCUGGGACUACAGGCGCCUGCCACCACGCCCUGCUAAUUUUUUGUAUUUUCAAGUAGAGACGGGGUUUCACUGUGUUAGCCAGGAUGGUCUCGAUCUCCUGACCUCAUGAUCUACCCGCCUCGGCCUCCCAAAGUGCUGGGAUUACAGGCGUGAGCCACCACGCCCGGCCCACUUGCACAUUUUCAAAGUAGUCCACAAAGCUGUAGUUUCUAAUAGCUUCAUAGUUCACAUGUAAUAGGGGUUCUCUGUGUGUUUAUAGAGCAGGCUACUACAGUGGAACUGUUCCUGUUUCAUCUGACAUCCGGAUAGAUGCCAGCCACCCCCACAUUCCAAAGUGAGAUUUCUGACUAGCAGUGACUUUUCUAGGGCCACGUGGAAAAGUUGAUAAGUAUCCUUUUCUGCAGGACAGAGUAGACUGGUAUCUCUGACUCAUCCCUGAAAAAUCUAAAUGGCAAGAGACUAGCUGGCUCUCUGAUGGGGAGGAGGUUGUUGUUUUGGUUGUUCUCUACAGACAUAGUCAGGGCAAAAAGCAUACACAUGCUUUCCAUGGACCAGAGAGACCUGGCCUGGGUUGUCUCAAAUCCUGUCCACAAGGCAACUCCAGAAGAAAGAAGCCCUUUACAUUUCCAUAAAACACUUUAGAAUCAGCUAGUCAAUUUCCACAAAAUAAAGUGCUAGAAUUUUAUUGGAUUUAAUUGAUUAUGUAGAACAAUUUGGGGGCCAUUUGACAUCAUUAAAAUAUUCAAUUUUCCUAUUCAUUAACAUGGUAUAUCUCUUCACUUUAAGUCUUUUGUAUGUUUCUCAGAACUAUUUUUGUGGUUUUCAGUAAAGUGUUCUUGCACAUCCUUCAAUAGAUUUAUUCUUAGACGUUUUAUAUUUGUUUAUGGCUAGUAUAUACAGAUUCUGUUGCUACAAAACUAUGUUGACCUUGUUAUCCAGUGAGUGGCCUUGUGACAUUCAUUUAAAUUAUAAUAAUUUGCAGAUUAUUUUUGUAUAAUCAUGUCCUCUGUGAAUGACAGUUUUAUUUCUUCCUUUCUUAAUCUUUAUGCCUUAUUUAGCUCUUGCCAAACUGCAGGGGCUGAGCAAUUGGACAAGAUAAAGAAAUAAAAGUGAUCCAGAUCAUAAAGAAAGAAGUAAAACUAUAUCUGCACAUGACAUAAUCUUGUCUAUGGAAAAUCCUAAGGAAUCCACACACAAAAAAACUACUAGAGCUAAUAAGUUCAGCAAGGUUGCAAGAUAUAAAAUUGGUAUACAAAUUGCAGUGGCUAGGACCUCCAGCAGAAUGCUGACUAUAAGUAGUGAUAGUGGGUAUUCUUGUCUCAUCCUCAAUCUCAGGGGUGGUGGGUGUGGCAUGUGGAGAGUUGUCAAUAUUCACCAUGAAGUUUGAUGGUUGUUAUAGGAUUUUUAAUGUACUCAUUAACAUAUAUUCUCAAGCUGUUAAAAAGAUUUUUUUUAAUUACAAAUGAGGUUAAAUUUCUCUCAAAUACUUAUUCUGCACCUUUUGAAAUAAUUUUAUUUUUCUCCUUUAUUCUUUGGAUGUGAUGACUUAUACUAAUUGACUGUUGAAUGUCAAACCAAACUUAACAUUCUUGUAAUAGAAACCAGCAGGGUGUGUACGCGUUUGUGUGUGUGCACAGGUUUAUACACAUAAACACAAUAAUACUUGGACUUAUUUAUUUAAAAUUUAGAUUUAUUAGAGGGAGCAUGGCCAUAAAAUAAAAUAAAAUAAAAUUUAGAUUUAAGUCAAGCUCAGUGGCUCACAUCUAUUAUCCCAGCACUUUGGAAGGCCAAGGCAGGUAGAUUGUCUAAGCUCAGGAAUUUGAGACCAACGUGGUGAAACUCGGUCUCUACAAAAACCACAAAAAUUAGCCAGGUAUGGUGUCACAUGCCUGUUGUCCCAGCUACUUGGAGGGCUGGGGCAGGAGUAUUGCGUGAGCCCAGGAGGUUAAGGCUGAAGUGAGUCAUGUUCACGCCACUGCACUACAGCCUGGAUAACAAAGCGAGACUCUGUCUCCAAAAAUAAAAUAAGUAAAUAAAUAAAUAAAUAAAAUUUAGAUUAAUUUGCUGUUAUAUUUUUAUAUAAACUAUGACAUAAGUAUAAACAAAAAAAUAAAAUAAGUAAAUAAAUAAAUAAAAUUUAGAUUAAUUUGCUGUUACAUUUUUAUAUAAGCUAUGUUUAUGACAGACUUUCCUAUAAUAUUCUUAUCAUAAUGUUCUUGCACUUGAAAGAAUGUGCAUUCUGCAGUUGUGUGCAGGUGUUAUGUGUAUUUCAACUGGGUCAAGUUUGUUAAUCAGGUUGGUCAAAUUAUCUACAUCUUUACUGAUAUUUUUGUCUGUUUUUCUAUAAAUUACUGAGAGAGGCUAAAGCCCGCCACUAUUAUUAUGAAUUUGUUUAUUUCUCCUUUGAGUUUUGUUAAUUUUUGUUUUAUGCAUUUAGAGAUUGUGUUAUUAGGUUCAUACCCAUUUAAAAUUGACGUUUUCUGGUAGAGUGAACCCUUUAUUAUGUGAAAUGGCUUUCUCUACCACUCACAGUGGUAUUUUUUUCACUUUCCCCCUUAUUUUUGAAUUUUCAGUGUUCUUAUAAUGAUGUCAUGUCUCUUGAAUAGAGUUGUUUUAAUCAAGUCUGUCAAUUUUUGUCUUUUGUGUAUUUCGUGAAUUUACAUUUAUUGUAAUUACUGAUAUAGUUGUGUUCAUAAAUACCAUCUUACUAUUUGUUUCCAUUUGUCUUACCCAUUUUUGUUUUUAUUUUUUUCUUUUCUGUUGCUUUCUUUCUGAUUAUUUUUUUAAUUCCGUUUCCCCCCCUACCAUUGGUUCUACUUACACAUUCUUUUAUAAUUUCUUCAGUGGUUUCCUCCACAGAUUACAACUUCUGUACAUUAUUAUAAUCUAAUACAAAUUUUACUUUUUAUUGUUUCCCAGACAAUGCUAUGAUCUCACAAUACUCAAUCUCUAUUUACCUCCAUUCUACUCUUGCAUGUAUAUUAUUAUUACUCAUUUUAAUUUCACAUAUAUUUUACACCUAAUGAGACAUUAUUAUUAUUGCUAUGUGCAGUCAAUAUUCAUUUGUAUUCACCCACAUAUUCACUCUGUUUUUUUUUAUUAUUUCCUGCAUUUCUGUGAUUCUAUCAUAGAUCAGUUUUCUUCUACCUGAAGAAUUCCCUUUAGUAUUUUUUGUGUAUGCACAUCUGCUGACAGCAAAUUUUCUCAGGUUUUUUUGUGUUUUUUUGUUUGCUUGUUUUUGAGACAGGGUCUCACUCUGUCGCCCAGGCUGGAGUGCAGUGGCAUGAUCAUGGUUCACUGUAGCCUCAACCUCCUAGGUUCAAGCAGUCCUCCCACCUCAGCCUCCCGAGUAGCGGGACUACAGGCAGGCACCACCAUACCUGGCUAAUUCUUUUGUAUUUUUUGUAGAGAAGGGAUUUCACCAUGUUGCUCAGGCUGGUCUCAAACUCCAGAACUCAAACAAUCUGCCUGCUUUGACCUCCCAAAGGACUGGGAUUACAGGCCACCUCACCCAGCCUUUCUCAGUUUUUGAAUAGAAACAUCUAUUUCAAAUUCAUUUUUAAGUAUAUUUUGUGAAUAUAGGAUUACAGGUUGACACUUUUUUCUUUGAGGAACUUCAGAAUGGCACUCCAUUAUCUUCUCACUUCCAUCAUUUCUGUUGACAAGUGAUUUUCAGUGCUAUUGUUUCUCCUUUGAGAGUAAUGUGUCAGUAACGUGCGCUGGCUCAUGCCUGUCAUCCCAGCACCCUUGAGCCCAGGAGUUCAAAACCAGCCCAGGCAACAGAGCAAGAUCCCCCACUCUACAAAAGAAAACGACAGGAGGGAGGCAGGAAGGAGGAGAGAGGGAGGGAGGGGAAAGAAAAAAGAAAAGAAGAAAUGUGUCCCUCCUACCUGCCUCUAGCUGCUUUUAAUGUUUUUUCCUUGUCUUUCAUUUGCAGCAGUUUAAGUAUAGUGUGCCUGGGCCGGGUGCGGUGGCUCACGCCUAUAAUCCCAGCACUUUGGGAGGCCAAGGCCAGUGGAUCACCUGAGGUCAGGAAUUCGGGACCAACCUGGCCAACAUGUGAAACCCCAUCUCCACUAAAAAAUCCAAAAAUUAGCCAGGCAUGGUGGUGCGUGCCUGUAAUCCCAGCUAUUCAGGAGACUGAGGCAGGAGAAUCGCUGGACCUUGGGGAGGCGGAGGUUGCAGUGAGCUGAGAUCGCACACUACCGUACUCCAGCCUGGGUGACAAAGAAAAACUCCGUCUCAAAAAAUAAUAAUAAUAAAAAAGUAUAGUGUGCCUGGAUGCAGUUUUGUUUUUAUUUAUCCUGCUUGGGGAUCAUAAAGCUUUAUCAGUUUUGGAAAGUUCUCAGCCUAUAUUUAUUUAACUGUUCCUUCUGCCCCAUCUUCCUCCCUUCUUCUAAGACUCCAGUUACGUAUGUAUUAGGCCUGUUCACCACUUCCCACAAGUAUCUUAUGUUCUUUGCUGUAUUUUCCAUACUCUUUGUCUCUGUUUUUCAGCUUAGAGUUUUUAUUCUGUCCUGUAUUACAGUUCAAAGAAUGUUCCUUCUGCUAAAUCUAAUUGUAGUUAACCCAUAUGCUAAGUACUUAAUUUCAGUUAUUGUAUUUUUAAGUUUUAAAUUUCCAUUUCAUUCUUUCUUAUAGAUUCCAGUUCUUUGAUGAAAGUCUCUAUUCCACCCAUCAAGUCUGUGUCUGAUAACACCAAUAUCUGGGUCAUUAGUGGCUCCGUUUUGUUGUGUCUGUUUUCCCCUCCUUCCUGUUUUGUGGUGUGUUUGAUCACUUAUUGUUGAAUGCUAACCAUUAUAAUAAAUUUUAGUGGCUCCAGGAAACAUUAUCUGAAAACAAUGUCUGUCUCAAGGGAGGGUUUACCAUGUCAUCUGAUAGACAGAGUGGGAAGAUUUUACCUUAAUCCAAUGGUACUGAACUGACUAGAGUCUAUGUUGCAGUUUUUGGAAGGCUUCAUCUCCAUCUCUGGUUUGCCCAUCUAUCUAGAGUGUGGUCCUCCAAGGAUUCCAGCUGAGCGUCUGAUGUGAUUAUUAGGCUUCUUUUCCUUGGUGGGUCCUGAACUCCAACUUUUAUCUCAUUAAUAUGACACUGCCAAAACCUGCUGCCUUUCAUAGCCUUUCUGCAUAGCUUAAUUCAGCAGAUGCCUCAAGGGGAAAGUGUUCCUUUUCUGUGUCUCCCUUCUACAUGAUAUCUCGGCCCCUUCAGUUCCAGCUGCCUUGACAACCUCAGUCUCCAUUUCUUGUCUCUCCAGCUGAAGACUCUGCUGACUUUGCUGCCUCUUAGCUAUGGCCGUCUGCCCAAAUGCUCGGCCUCUUAGCUAAAAUCAGCACGUUUCCUGAAAGGAAAAGUAGUUCACAGAGGGCCAGCUUGCCUCCUUGUGUUUUUCUUCUUUUGAGAUUAUGGCCCUUCAAAUGUUUGUUAACUGGGAAGCUUUCAAAAAACUUUUUAAAAAAGUUUUCUGUGUUUUAUUCAGCCUUUCCAGUUGUUCUUGGAAUGAGUGUUGGUCUGCCUCAAGCAGAAAAAAAAAUCUCAGAAUUCUUUUCUCAGAAAAAGGAUUCUCAGCAGAGAGUGAUUUUAUACACGGAAUGGGAUUAAACAAUUCUUGGGAAAGCUGGUGAAGCCAACGAGGGAACAGUUACUUUUAUCAGUGUGCAAUUUUUUUGCUAUAAUGGUGCAUAACAACUAAUCACAACAUGUCAAUGCCAUACUUAAAUAAGCACUCAUUUCU
This 7826-nucleotide long non-coding RNA is filed under the name Homo sapiens (human). RNAcentral's name for it is "non-protein coding NUTM2A-AS1:27". The record is from RNAcentral. Lineage: Eukaryota; Metazoa; Chordata; Mammalia; Primates; Hominidae.